RNAcentral lists this ribosomal RNA (460 nucleotides) under uncultured bacterium. RNAcentral's name for it is "partial 16S ribosomal RNA". It matches the Rfam family "Bacterial small subunit ribosomal RNA", at positions 338 to 795 of the family's 1533-position model. The record is from RNAcentral.
CCUACGGGUGGCAGCAGUGAGGAAUAUUGGUCAAUGGGCGCGAGCCUGAACCAGCCAAGUAGCGUGAAGGAUGACUGCCCUACGGGUUUUAAACUUCUUCUAUAAAGGAAUAAAGUGAGGCACGUGUGCCUUUUUGUAUGUACUUUAUGAAUAAGGAUCGGCUAACUCCGUUCCAGCCGCCGCGGUAAUACGGAGGAUCCGAGCGUUAUCAGGAUUUAAUGGGUUUAAAGGGAGCGUAGAUGGGUUGUUAAGUCAGUUGUGAAAUUUUGCGGCUCAACCGUAAAAUUGCAAUUGAUACUGGCAGCAUUGAGUACAGUUGAGGUAGGCGGAAUUCGUGGUGUAGCGGUGAAAUGCUUAGAUAUCACGAAGAACUCCGAUUGCGAAGGCAGCUUACUAAACUGCCACUGACAUUGAUGCGCGAAAGUGUGGGUAUCAAACAGGAUUAGAUACCCUUGUAGUC